Aphidius gifuensis is the source of this 1426-nucleotide long non-coding RNA. RefSeq lists it as uncharacterized. The record is from RefSeq and is a predicted model, not a curated record. Lineage: Eukaryota; Metazoa; Arthropoda; Insecta; Hymenoptera; Braconidae. The transcript is spliced from 6 exons.
UAUUGCGUAAUGACGUGCUCCGAUUUUACAGUAAUUAUUUAACAAUAAAUAGCAACAAUUAAUUGUUAAUUUAUAAUAAAUCAGUUCAUUAACUCGCUGGCUACAAUUUGAGUACAUAAUUAUUGCUGGAUGUCACGUAUUUUAGCCAAAAAUUGAUAUUGUUUAAAGUGCCCAAAAGCGGCCGGGUCACGAAAAGACGCCAUGGGAUUUGAUGACACAAAAUGGCCGCAGAUUUCUUUGGAUAUGUCAAAAAUUAUGAGAUCUGGACAGAUGCCAUGACAUUUACAACAAAAAAAUAGCCUCAGAUGUAAAAAAAAGAUGACCAAGAAUUAAUUGGAAAAAUGACAUGACAAUGAUAAAAGACUGGGCUUUUUAUUGAUCAAGGAGCCAAAUUUACAGUGCCAAAUAGCCAAAGAUACAAAAAGAUGGCCAGAGUUUAUUUGUAAAAUAUGUCUGACAAAGUGAAAAAAAGUAUCGGCACUUUAUUGAACAAUAAAUUAUGUGGCUGAUGAAUGUUUAAAGCUAUUCAAGACUGAAUAUUAAGUAAUUGUUGGCUAAAUAAAAAUGUGCUGAUAAUUCAAACCAAGACAAAAGUGUUUUACAUACCAUAGAAUGAUAUUGUACCAAGUGACUUGUCAUAAAUAACUAACAAAUAGAAAUAAAUAUACUAUUCAAUCAAAUGACGACGAUGUUGGUGGUCGUAAAAGGUAUGUUGGUUUUCGUUUUUCUUCGACAAAUUAAGUAAAUUUAAUAUGAAAUCAGUCUAAUCAGUUAUGAAAUUUAUGGAAAAAAAUAUGAUUGAUUUCAUAUUAAAUACUGAUAUAACUGAACGACAAAAAACUACGAAAAAAAAAAAAAAAACAGACAAAAGACGUUGAUCUAUCUUUUAACGAUACAUUAAAUUUAACAAAUAAUAAAUGGGAAAUUAAUUUUAAACUUGACGUUUAUUGUCUUGCGUUGCGUUUAAAAAAUAUGAGAAUUAAUUGUUAAACGGUGCGAAAACAAACAAUGUAAAUUUAUAAUUAUUAAUUAUAAAUUCACAAAAUAAAAAAAAAGAAGAAAGUAAUAUUAGAAAAAAAAAAUUUACUCUGAAGAAAUGACAAGAUCACUUGGGUCAAUGAUAAUAUCAAGAACCACAGGGCAUUUGUAAAAACUUGGAAAAGAUUCAACAUAUGAAUCUACUGAAAGAAAUCAUGCUACAGAAGUUAAUAUUGAUGCAAAGAAAAAUUGACACGACGAAUACCUUGACCAGGACUAGCCAGCAUAAAAGUAUUUAAAAUGCCAACACCAGACGAUGACAUUGGACAUCCUGCUAAUGCAACUUACAUCAUAUCCAUCCAUGUAUCCUGUGAGCUGCAUCUACACCUUGUGACAUGAUACAAAUAACAAACUACAUAAUAAAAUAAAUUUUUUUUACUAUUUAAAA